UUUUUUUUUUUUUUUUUUUUUGGGCGCUAUCAAAGAGUAGUUUUAUUAUAUAUAUUUUUUUUAAUUCAAAGAGUAGUUUUAUGGUUUGAUAAAAUCAAAGAGUUUAGGAUAUGAAUGGUUGCUGUUGAUGGUCAUUAGGAUCGCUCAUGGUCCCGAUUCAGUCAAUAACAACGGAUAUUGUUUGUGACUGAUUGAGAUACGUUGCUUGUGCAAUUCUCAUCCUUCAAUGUACAAUGAUUCUCUUGAGAUGUACGUCGAUUCUUUAACGGUUCAGAAGCAUUUGACAGGAAUGUUGAAAAAUCUUCACCAGCCAAAGUGUUCAAUUGUGGGAAACAAUAGUAACAACAGUUCUUUUGGCCUCAGUUCUGUUCAUAUCCUAUAAAUAGCAGUCAUUACCUUGUGGAAACUUCCCAUUUUACGCACAACCAAUCUCUCAUAACACUGCUAAUCAGAAAAAACAAGCCAUGUAUGCCUAUAAUAGAUUUCCCUCCAGUAGCAUAACCUACAACGCCUCCACUUCGAAAUACUCAGUCACCUGCGACGGAAAAACCAUUGAGACAACUCUCACUGAUAAAGCUGCCAUAGCUGAUGAAUGGGUUAGGGAAAUCCUUUCCCUGUAUGCUAACAAACCUACGGUUGUUGGUUUAGACAUCGAAUGGAGGCCCCAUCCUAUUCGCUCAAUGAGCAACAAAUCAGCUACUUUGCAGCUUUGCAUCAACGACAAGUGCCUAAUUCUUCAACUUUUUUAUAUGGACGAAAUCCCACAAUCCCUCAAGAAUUUUCUUGCGGACUCCAACUUUACCUAUGUGGGGAUUGAGGUGGCUGAUGACAUAGCCAAGCUUAAGAACGAGUAUGGGCUGGAGUGCAGCAGCAGUGCUGACAUUAGGGCUCUGGCGAUGCGCCGGUGGCCGGGAAGAUUUCGCCGGCCUGGGCUGAAGGAUCUUGCAUCGGAUGUGGUGGGGCUUUACAUGAAGAAGCCUAAGCAUGUUUGCAUGAGUAACUGGGAAGCAAGGGUUCUCAAUGAGAACCAAGUUGAGUAUGCAUGCAUUGAUGCUUAUGCUUCUUACAAAAUCGGGCAUAAGCUGAUCAUGGAAAACUAGUUGUUUGGCCUUUGGUUUGGGGCUGGCAAGAAGUCUAGAAGCAUAUUAUAUGUAAUGUGGGUAUUUUAUGCAGCAAGUGGUUUAUGAUAUGAUGUAGCAAUGCUGGCGUUUUUAAUUCCUUUUUUUUUUUUUUGAGCAAAGUAAUUUGCUUAUCUUGUCAUCAGAGGAAAUUCUAAAUAUUUAAGUUUUAUCAAUGUUGUGUGGAAAGAUUGUGUUAAAAUUGUUUGGCCAGGAAUUUUUUUUUUUUUUUUUAUAUUUACCACAAUAGCUCUCAGGAAAAAAAAAAAUUUAUAGGACCACAAUGCUCCGAGAACCAUCAAAUCCUAAUUGUACUGCCAAACAGGCUGGCUGAUAUUACAACGAAAAACUGUCCAAAAUUUCCCCAGAAACUAGACAUGGGGGCAUUGCGGUUUGCCUUUACUAUGGUGGAUAGCUUUAUUAGGUACGUUGGUAACAACUAUUAGCAUUAAUCCUAUCAUUCGUGGGUUUAGCUGCAGCCUUAUGAAUACUAAUUUGACAACGUUUCAUUAUUAAUCUCACAAUAUUGUCGAUUAGUUGUAUUGUUAUGAAAGAAAAGAUUAACAACUGAUAAUGACUAUAUAUUUGAGUUAUUUACUUUCACAGCUUUGUAUUUUUAGACUUUACUUUCACAACCUGUCCGUGUUUUAAUUAAUUUCUCUCAGUUGGUAAUGCAUAAUCAGAAUCAGUGACAAAGAAAAAAUGAAAUUUAGAAAUGAUUGAGACUCUUUAUAAAUCCUCUUUUUUUUUUUUUUGGUAUUUAAACUUUAAAGGAAAGUUAAAAAGAAAGAACCAAAUUUUGACUUGAACUAUUAAACUAGGGAUCUAAUAGUUAGUAUUUGAUUAGUUCCCAACUAGCUGAGACUUUCAUACUACUAUGAUGGUGCAAUAAAGAGAAAUGGACCAAGUCCUAAAUCCAUCUGGACUAGUCAAUUAAACAUCCUUUGUUUACCCAAAAGGCCAUGCAAUGCAGGUGCUUUGCAUGUACAGUUGCUAGUCACUUUUGACUUGCUAAAACUUUGGUGGUUCCAAAACUGAAUUGAUAAAUAUUGAUCGCCUCGAUUGGCCUUCAUUUCAUUUGACCGCUGCAUGCCAUUUUUUGUCCCCCACCUCGAGGGCUUCGAAUAAGAAUUACCCGUCAGAGGAUUGAAUGGAGAGUUCCGGCCACCAGAAUUUUAAACGCGAAAGGCUCAGAACUUUGAACAAAUCGUACCUUUUAAGUUCAUGAUAAAUAUGCAGAACUUAUAACUCAGAGAGAUGCAAUGCAUCGCAUGUCGCUCCCUUUGUAAACAAGAACAUGCAUGAAUAUACCAGCGUUGUGCAUCUUGAGUUAAUAAGAUACAGCACAUAUGAUCAUACUCGAUCGCACAAAUUUUCAAUGUGGUGAUUCUCUUACCUUUGGAUUCACUCUAAAUGCAAAAUUCAAAGAUGAAAUGCAUGAACUUGGGCUUGCGGCUGCAAGUUUAGGCGCCCCGAGGUUCAUCCUGAAGCAUUUCUGUAUUUCUAUUUCUCAUCUCUUCUUUAAAGACAAUAAACUCUGAUUUCACUUACAAAAAAACACUUUAAAAUUCUAACAUUUUAAAUGAUAACCAAAAAUAUAGUAUCUCUAAAAUCAAGAAAAUGGCCAUCUUUUAAUUUAUUUCUAUUUCUUAAUUCCUAUUGUCCCUUAGUAUAGAAACUUUCAGAAACUCUUUUUGUAUUCUUCAAAAUUUAAAGCAUAUAAGAAAAAAAAAAGCGAGUACAAAUCGAAAUAAUUACUAGGACAGAUCCAGACUUCCAAUCUUUCCAUCAAUCAUCAGACUUUAACAUUCGUAUGAUGCAGCAAGGGUGAAUGCAUCCAUAAAUGACAACAAAAUCGAAUCACAUAUCAUAUUCGAUGGACCAAAUCAUAUGCAUGCACAAUAGCCAGUUACAUAUGAGACUUUGAAGAAACUUUAACUGAUUUUUUUUUUUUUUUUUUUUUGGGAACCGAGGACCUGAAGGGUGAAAAGCCAAUAAUCUCUGAAGUCUAGCAGCUGAUUGCUGCAGCAUUAAAGGAUAAGAUGACUAUAUGUAUAUAUUGACAUGAAUAGCCUACAUUUAGCAUAUAGUGGUGUAUUACUUAGGCAAGAAAAAGAAUUUUUAUAGCCUUCAUUUAACUCUACGGUAGAGCUGAUAAACGAACUAAACUGUUCGGUCACUUGAUUCGUUUCGACACGUUCGUGUUCGUGAAAGACUCGUUCGAACUUUAAACGAACUGAGUUCGAACGCAUUUUUUUUUUCGAAUAAUAAUCGAGCGUACACGAGCAUGUUUGCGAGUUUUAACGAACGUUCACGAACAUGGACAUAAUUAUCUUUUGACAAAUUUUAGGGUUAAUUUUAUGGCUAGACUUUUAUAUUUGGAGGGUUUUAUUUGUUAUUUUUAUGUUAAUGUUAGUUAUAUAAUUAAUGAAUAAUAGAAUUUAGUCACUUAGUGCUUUAAUUAUUUUUUAGAAUGAUUAAUUAUUUGUAUGGCAUAUUUAAGACUUAAAAUCAUUUGGAUUCGAGCAUUUCGAGCAUGUUCGCGAACGUAAACGAGUCAAACACGAACUCGAACUCGAACUCGAACAUGAAUUUUGCUUAACGAGUCGAACACGAACACAGAUUUGGAGUUCAAAAAUUAACGAACGAACACGAAUGUUAUUCAAAUCACUUAACGAACAGAAUUUAAACAUAAGAUACUCGGUUCGAUUCGACUCGUUUACAGCUCUAACUCUACCAUUGAACCUCGUAUCUCCUUGGGGGUCCAAUUUUUAUGAAGUAAUGAAAAGAAUUUGUUAAGUCGUGAUCACUAAAAUCUUUAGUGAAAUGUUCUUAGGAUGUGUAACUGCAAAGUAAAUUACGUACUAUGGCACGCAAUGCAAUAGAUGACUGAAAAAAAAAAAAAAAACAAAAGGACGUGCAAUAUAUGAUGGAAAUUUGAAACAUCAUUAGUACUUAAUACUUCUCGUAUGGAGAUUAAGCAUGCAGUAGCUUUGGGAGUUUUGUGACUUGUGACCGAGCUGUAUCCACGAAGACGACUUUGAUACAUUCCAAAAUGUAGGAUCUUCCUCUUGAAAAGCGUUCAUGUUCUUGGGAUUGAGCAGUGAAUCCGACGUUCAAAUUUCAGAUUACUUGGGAAGAGAAAUUAGUUAUCAUUCGUGUUCCUCAAGGAGUGUUAUUACAGUCAUCAAUAGCAGUGAUAUGUAUACCGAGAUUAAUAUCUACACUUACCAACGUAACCAACAGAUCCACAACUUCACCUUGUUUGAUGCCCUCUCGCUAUAAAUACAUAAACUUGGACAACGUUAACCAGAGGGUUCAUUUUUACUAGGAACAAAUAAUCAAAGAAUGAUUCCACUUCGAUUCAAGUCCAAAAUGGGUGUCCACAACAUAAAAUUGUACGGCUUUCCUGUGAAGGCGACAGUUGUGGACGAUUGGUCUCUAGCUGUCAGUGGUAUACAAGAGUUAAAGAAGCAGCUGUGUGAGUUGCAGAUUGUUGGAAUUGAUGUGAAGGGGACCGAACUGUCAGCAGAACCACAGCUACUGCUGAUUUACGUGAAAGAUCGUUGCUUGAUCAUUCAACUUGGACGAAAGUCUUCUUAUCCUUCCCAACUUGAAUCUUUCCUGAGUGAUAGGAAUAUAUGUUUUGUGGGAGCGAACAUGAAUAGGAAGGUUGAUGUCCUGAAAAAAUUUUGGAUUCCCCAAGGUGCGAUUGUACUACAGAGAGAUUCGUGGUUGACGCAUAGAGUCGAAGUUGGUGAAUUGGCGGCCAGAGUUCUGAAGAAUGCAGACCUUGAAAAGUGCGAUAAUCUUGAAGUGUUGGCAAAGAAGAGUGGAUUUGAUUUUAAAGAAGCAGAUGAGAAGAAGCGUCCUUCUCCAAACUGGGCUGCCUUAUGCUUGUCGGAAGAAGUCAAGUGUGCCAUGCGUGAAGUUUUCAUAAGCUACAAUGUGGCAAGUAAGCUGCUCAGCCAGCUCUAGAGUAGAGAGUCCUGGAGAUGUGAUUUUGUUGUCUUUUUUUCCCCCUUUUUUUUGACUUCUUUAUCAUGACUAUUCCUUUUGGCUUUUGCAUUAGAUGGAUCAUGGAUCAUGGUUGUAACAGGUCUUUAUUUUCUUGUCUUCGUGUCACCUAUUACAUAUCCAGGGAAUUUGACCAAUUUAUUUUUCUGUUCAUUCUUAAACCAAUUAGCUGGCACCUUGCUCAAUCUACAUGAAUGAUGAAUCGCUCUUCGUGAAGUACAUAUGUUAGUUACAUCACAUAAAAAAAAAGGAAAAAACAGCAAAAAAAUUAAUCCUUACCCCAGAACCUAAACUUCCUUCCUCCAAUUUCAAUGGUUCAAGUACUCGGUCAAGACUGACACGACUUAGCCGAGUCGUCACCCGAACGGGGCUUUCCGAUCCGAUAUCGGGACGAGAUAAUUUCAAAAUAAUGAAUCGCCAAGAACUCGGCCGAGACGUCUCCGAGACGAAUAGAAACGGUCGAAUCAUCUCGAGUUAUCCUGAGUCAAUACAAUUUUUAGAAUAUUUAAAUAUUUUAAAAAUUUGCGCCGAGACCGUAACUAAUAUAUCGAGAUCGAUGUUGAACGGUCCAAGCCGCGACCGCAACUGCGACCACGACUUUGAACCAUGAUUUCAACUUACUUGUUUCGGUCAAACGUCUGCUUCAACAAGCGGCUAAAAUACCAUCCAUCCGGAUGCCUAAUAGCAUUCAGUAGCAUAGUAAACGGUGUGAUUUCAGUUUCAGCCUGAUACUUUCUUAGGCCAAACCGCCUGCACAAGGAUUAAUGUCACUUUUAAGCCAUAAGUGAAGCUAUAUGCAUUCCCAAUUUUGACUUCCCUGAACAUCCCAUGUGUAUUUGAAUAAAAAUUUUGGUCCAUGAAAGAAAUAUUGCUGCGUGAUGGAUCUUCCUCUGUAACUCUUCCGUAGUUUUUCUGAUUAAUGGAAGAGAUAUUCUACGUAAAAAAUAAAGAAGUAUUCCUUAUGCAAGUGAUAUUUUCAUGUCAAUUCUCUUCAUUAAAUCAUUUUAUAAUAAACACAAAUAAUAGCUUAUGACAUGAAUUAUUAGAGUAUAUACGCAAAUAGGGUGAUUUGUACCACAAAUCCCAAGUGAUAUAUGAUAUGAACUUGAAUAGUCCCCAAGUACAUUCAACACAACAAAAUCAACCACGUCCAAUGUACUGAAGUUGAGUAGUCGAGAGUUAUCCAGAUAUACGUGCACACUUGUAAGUUCUGACAUCUAUAUAUGCAGAAUGCGGUAUAGAGUUCAAUUGCCAGCCUUCACGUAGCAUUAAGGAAAAGAGGGACAAGAAAAUGGAUAAUCCGUUGAAAUUCAGGGAAAAAAUGGGUGUAUAUGACCUCGAAAUGAAUGGAGUUGGCGUUAAGGUAACAGUCGUGGAUAACGAAGCCCUCGUCGAAAGUGGUAUAUCUGAAUUGAAGGCUCAGCUGGGAGAUUUGCCUUUGGUUGGAAUUGAUAUGAAAAUCUGUAAACAGCGAUCGAGGGAUCCAGAAUUACUGUUGAUGUAUGCCAACGAGCGUUGCUUGAUCGUUCAAUUGGCACUGAUGAACUCCUUCCCGAAUACACUCGGGACUUUCUUAAGUGACAAAAGAAUUUGUUUCGUGGGCUGGCAAAUUCAAGCCAAAUAUGAUGCUUUAGCAAAGGCUCUUAAGCGCUUGAAUAACAUGAAUGCUGCUUAUGAAGACUGCGUGACGAGAAAUGGAUUCAAAAUCAGUCAUCUGGCUGCCACAGUUCUCAAAAAUCCAGCACUUCAGAAGUGUGGUAGCUUGGAGAAGUUGGCGAGUAAGAUUGGAUUUAAUAUUGUAGAAGAAGCAAACCCGGAUAGGGUUGAGUGUCCUGAAUGGAAUGCCCUGUGUUUUUCCGAAGAAGAGGUGAAGUUUGCCAUGUAUGAUGCUUAUAAUUGCUACCACAUGGGCAAGAAGCUGUUGAGCAUGCUCUAGCGACUCUUGGACUUGUUGAUUCUUCGACUGUGUAUCAUCUGAACAUGGUUCAGUUACUGUUACAAAAAAUUGUCGAUAUCAAGUAGUAAAUGUUGUUUGUUGGGCAAUCUAUAUGUUGUUGAUGGAGAAGUUAUUGAUUCAAGAGUUAAUUUGAAGAACUGUUCUUUCUUCAUGCAACUCCUAUAUUAGCUAGUGAUCUUUGUUAUCAUGCGCACGGAUUAGUUCUACUAAACUGUUAAUUUUCCCAAAACUAUUAUGAGUACAGUUAUGAGUUUCACUCAUUUUGUACUCUAUGCAAAUGUGGGAGCAAAUUUGAAUGGCGAAACAUCUUGGAUCAUUAUGGUAAGGAUAAAUGAGAAUUAUAAUCACAAAUCUAUCAUAAAUACGAGAGUUCUUCUCUUAGGGAUCCUUAGAUCAUUGAUGUCUUUAUUAUGACGAAUUCUUCAGAAAAAAUUGUGUCUAGGCCAGAAAAUAAAAGGUGAAUCUAGUCGUACUUUUUUUGCGAGUAUAAAUUCUUCAUCUUGGAGUGGUAAUUUCAGAGCUUUUUUAAAGAAAAUUCUAGAAAAUUUCCCCAUAAAUGAAAUUAGGGUUAUUAGAAUAGACCUUAUCAUUCUUCCUUUUCCCUUUUCCUUGAAAACUUUUUUAGUCCAUAUUAGAAUUCAAGCAUUCUACAUCCUAACCAAGGUAACUUAGAGAAAAAAUAUGCGGAACAAAUCGCCACUCCAUGCUAAAUUUCUAAUUGACUCUCCUUGGAACAUUCCUCCAUCCCGCCACUAUACCACUAAUGAUCUGAACAAUAGAUUAAAUCAGGUGCUUAGCAGCCACAGACUUUCCACAGAACUCAGAAGAGCCUCCUAUUCCUUUAUCUCCACAAUGCAUAUAUCGUUUCCGCGAAGACACAUUUAAUUCAGUGUCUGAUGCAUAUGCUGAAUGCCUGAAUCCACCAUUGGGGCUCCUCAGCCCAUCCACAAACUCCCAUAUACAAGAGGUGAAAUUUCUGGAUUCCUCGCCAAACAUAAGCAGAGUAGUCAGGACUGGAAAAACAGGUGCUUUACCGAACCAUUUUCUCUAGCAAACGAGGGGCACCAUUCACCAAUUUUUCUCAGUAACUCUCCAUUUCGUCAAUGUAUCUUUUGUAGCCAACCUAUUUCCAAUUCUACGUGCCAGCCAAACUAUAGAUGCUUAUCUUGUGCCUUUUGACAGAAAAUAGGAAAAGCCUAAAGAUGAUAGUGGCUUUAUCUUUCCUUUUGGAUGGCUAUCAUAUAUCUUAGGCGUUUGUCUUUGUUUCAUAGAUAAUGGAUCAUGAUCAUGAUCAUCCACAAGUUCAAGAGUCAUACUAACCAUUUGAAUCUCUCUUUGCUAACUAUUGAGACCAUACUCCAAAAAGUAGUUUAACUAUACUGACUAUCAUUGAACAGUCAAAAUUAAUUUGAUUCAGUAAAAGCUAGGAACCAAACGUUACUUCAUUUACCAAAAUAACUGAAUUAUAGUCUAUCAAAAAGAAAAAUUAAAAUUUGCAUUCAUCUUACAUUGUUGCAUGCUUACGACUGACUUCUCAUUUCUUAGUCAUGCAUCUAGGAAACUCAAAGGGUGUCUUGGAAUCUUAAAUUGAACAAAGUGCAACAGAUAAACUCAAAUUCACUCAAGUCCAUCAUACACUUAAAACUCUCUUGGACUGGACUGAUGUAACACGACACUUGACACAUUUAAGUUCAUUGUAUUUAUAAUCACCAAGAGGAGAGACGCACUCCUUUGUAAAACUUUCAAAAGACAAACUCAUCAGAGGAGCUAGCUAGUACCUAAUGGGCAUUCUUUCAUUUUGGAUUAGGAUUGUUUAUGUGUUUUAUCAUUCUAAAUUGGUGUAUGAAAUGAAAGCUGUUUAUGAAUAAUCAAGCUUAGGCAUAAGGGCUAGGCAUGGCCCAAAAUGUUGUUCCUUAACAGAAACGAAACUAAUCAAUGUAUUGUUAAGAUGAUUAUGGGCUUUCCAGCCAUGGUAUGUAAGUCCAUAAUACAAUCAAUAAUAUCUAUUUUUUGAAUUUUUUUUUUUUUGUAUAAGUGUGUCAUUUUGAAUUAAGAAGAUCCCACUCACAACAUGUUCUAUCUUAUCACUCAACUCAAUCAAUUAAUAAAUUAAGAUUUUAAAAAUAUUUUUAUGCAACAGACAUAUCAAUACAGGUGAAUCACCCCUUUCAUUCCAUUUCCAAUUUCUAUAUUAAUACGGGGUCGGACUUCUUCUUUUUCCGACCGCAACAAAAAAAAUCUUCAUCGUAUGAGAUUUUUUCGAAGUUUUUUUUUGUUCGCUAUAGUUAUGAUUUUUUCAAUCAAUCUGUCUUUUCAGCAAAUAAACAGCAAUUCGAUCUAUCAAUAUGUAUGGUCUUGGACCAUUAAUAAUGAUCUUUCUUUAGAAGUCGACUAUUUGAUCGAUCCACUUACUUCUGUUACGUCAAUAUUAAUAGCUACCGUUGGGAUUAUUAUGGUUCACGAUCAAUACGUGGCAGAUUUAAUUCGUCAAGGACAGGAUGGUGCAUUUCUCCAUUGUAUUUGGCAUCAGUUACUUGAUCUUUCAAUUGCACAAAAUUAAUGGGGUUGUUAAUGGUCAAUAAAUUCCCUAGGUCAUUUGGCACGCCAAAUACUAGUCUUUCGAUUGAGGGAUUUGGACCUAAUCAUAGAGAACUAUUGCCUAAGAUUAAGAGUAGUGCUGGAUUUAUGCAUUAAUUAAUUCCCAUCCCCAUCUAAUAUUCUUUGUUUAUAUUCUUAUCCAUCCCUUGAAUACCAAGUAGAGCUGGGCAUCCUGUCUUUGUCGAAUUUCUUGUGCCAUUUGUCUUGGCAUAUUCGUAGAAAUUGGUUAUAGUCUGUCUUAUAGACCACCUCCCCCAUUUUGCAGUCACUUUAAUAAUAAUAUAAGUAUCAAUUAUCAUCAUAUGUUCGUUGGCCAAUGGAAUUGCAAAUUUUUUGCUAUCUCCAAAAAAAAAAAAAAAAAAAAAAAGGUGCAAUCAAAUUGGUGCUAGUUAGUUUGUAAAUCAAAGAUAAUCUAAAUUCUAACCAAUGGUUUUAACACAGAAAUAAAUAGUACUAACAAUAACCAAGACAAAAAGACUCUUCCCAACCAUAUCCAAUCUAUUUCUUUGCCAAAUGUGGUGGCGUUUUUGUCUUUUGACGCUGCUGCAUGAAUGGCAAGAGAGAUGGGGAAGGCAUUUUGUACAUUCAUAAAAUCCCAGAAAAUGAUAGGCAGCCAAUAUCCAAAAAAGGAAAAUGAAAGGGGAAAAAAUUUUUUUGCGACAAUGUCAAGUAGUAUCGAAAGUCAAAAAAUGUGUGUACAAAUUAAGUACUCCCUAUUAUAAGUAAGGUCAUCAAGUUCUAAUAAUAAAUAUGCACGUGAUAAUUUGAUGAUUAAUUUUUGACAUUGUCAAAUUCAGCAUUGCAAUAUUACCCUACAACAAUAAUAGGGAUGUAAACGAGUUUAAUCAAUUCGAAUACCCUAAUGUUCAAAAUUGUUUGACUUUUUCUUUUUAUUGCCAAACUGAGUUCGAACCAAUUUUUUAUUGGAUUAAAAAAUUAUCCAAUAUAAAACAUUAAAACUUGUUCGAUUAUUUUUAACUUAUUUGAAAUUCCAAGACAGUGCGAGGGCCGAGAUCUCUCCGUAGAUUAUAUGUUAUUAUACUUCAAAAUUUUCCUCCAUUUUUUUUUGUUUUAGCUGGCGAUAUUUUCCUGCUGGUCAAGAGAAAAAUCAAAAUGUAAGUCCAUCCUUUUCCCUUUUUUUUUUUUUUCUGAUGCAUUCAAGAAAUAUUUGUUUUUUAUGAGUUUAAUUCUAUUUUGGUGGCGUUGGUUUUAUAAUAAUCUGCAACAGGUAGAUGUUUGAAGAGCCUGAAAAAAUGUAAAUGGAAAACCCCUAUUAGUCGGUUAUGACAUUCUUGGCUGAAGAACUCCGCGAAUUUUCCUUUUUAUUUAAUUUUUCAUUUUAUAUUUUUUUUUUUUUUUUUGAGUUGCAGUAUGGCCCAUUUUAGGUUCACUUGAUGGUUCUGUUUGCUUUAUUCUAGCAGAAAUUCUUGAGAAUGUAUGUUUUAGUUUUUUUGGAUUUCCUGGUGGGAUUCUGCUCUUUCACAUUUUUUUUCUCAUGUACAGUACUUUUUAUGUUGUGAAGCAGGGAGCCGAUGAUUGUGCUGUGAAUGUCAUGUGGGGUUCGGAGAAAGUGGGAUGUUAGAGAAGGGUUUAUUAAUACAUAAAGUAGCAGCUUUUUCUUGUCUAGGAUAAAUUUGGUCAGUAUUCUAACUGGUUGAAUCCCACUUAGCGUCAGUUAUUGGUGAAAUAUGGUAAAAAGUUUGCUUGUUUAAAGGAAAUUGCAGAGGUUUUUCAUUGUUUAAUGCCAAGUGACUAAUAAAGAGCUUGAAAUUUUCUUUUUUUUAAUGAGUAUAAUCUCAGCUGCAUUAUUUGUUCAUUUUGGAUGGGCGAUGUGGGCAUUGUUUUAGUUGCAUUACUGUGGGAAGUUGAAUUUGAGGUAAGAAAAAGGCAGAAUUUUGGGAAGGUGAUGGUUUAACUGAAAAGAUUUCGUCGGUUGACUGAUGGGAUUUUGAAGUUUUAGAUUGUGAAAUUGAGAGGGUCUGGAGGCUUAUGAGAGGAGAAUUGAGAAUGUGAUGGAUCAUUUAGAUCUAAAAGGAAGUGAUUCAGAAAUUGAUUUGGAGAGUGGGGGCAAUGUAACUGAUGAUGAUGGGGGUGAACAUCUUGAUUUGAGUGGUAGAAAUUCAAAGAAAGGAUUGCAUAUGGUGUGGAGUGAGCUUGUGGGACAGGAAUCAGCAGAUGCAUCUGCAAAGGGUGAAAAGAGUGCACAUUCACUUGGCAAGUUGUUGAGUUAUGAUGAAAUAUUGGUUAAGAAUGCGGAUAGAUGGCCAGAAAAGUUUGAGGAAGAAUUUACAAAUUUUUCGAAAGAGAAAAGAGCUGUGGAAAAGCCAAAGAUGCCGAACUCCAAAAGGCCUCCAAAGCCGCCCCGACCUCCGGGAGGUCCCUCACUGGAUUCUGCUGAUAUGAAGUUGAUCAAGGAAAUUUCUGAGCUCGCAAUCUUGAAACGUAAAAGGACCGAGCGAAGGAAGGCCUUGCAGAAAAUGAGAAAGGAGAAGACAUAUUCAAAAAGCAGUAGUUUGUUUGCCAUGGUGGUCACUGCACUCUUUAUCUUUGUGAUCAUUUUCCAAGGUACGCAUGUCCAGCGAGCAGACUUUGAACUUUUCAUUUUCUUUUCCUUCUGCUAAUCUGGCCUGUCUUUUUUAUUUAGUAUUGAGUGGAUAUACAUUUGCAUUCUUUUGGUUCAUAAUAUUCAUUGAAGUCACUUAAUAGUAUUUGAUAAUGUAACUGUAUAUCUAUAUUUGUUUGCUCAUGAUUCUAGGUUUAUGAUAGCUUAAUGCUGGUUCGCUUUAUGACUUCCAUUAUCAUGCUACCUUUUUUUUUCUACCAUCUGACAUAGGAUUUUACUGCUGCAAUGUAAAGUUGUGGCCCUCCAUUUGAUGUCUCCCUUGAAAAAUGAUUUAUUGACUGAUUAUUCUCUGACCUAAAAGAAAAUUAUUGACUUGUGAGAAUAUGUUGAAGAGAAUUGACAGAAUGACUUUUAUUAAUUGUCGGACUCUUAAUAUUUGAUAAAAGCAUACUGUACUCGAAUUUACCAUUAAGGUAGCACUGCUGUUUCAGAAACCAUGGUAAAUCAGACUCACAGUAUUUGGUUUUCAUUACCUUCACCAUCCUGUACCUUGUUCAGAAUGAAAUGUUUUCUGCAAUAAGUAUUGGGCAUGAGCAAAAGGGACCUCUGCAGCAUCAAACGAGGACAUUGAUCAAAUACAACAAUUGGAAAUCUAUGUGGAUUUAUCAUUAGCGCAAUUCAUCUUCCAUGGGAAGACAAAGGCUUUUAAGUAAAAAGAUCAAGGAGAAUUUUGUAUCUUUAGCCUAGGUUUUGAUGCAAUCAGAUGAAAAGCAGAAUGCUUAUAUAGAGGAAACAUCUGUUUUCUUGCAAAUAUUUCUGAAGUUCCACAUAGAACAUUUCAAAACUCAAUUAGGAUCAGGUAGUGGCCCAUUUAUAAGGGAUAGUGUCCUGCAUAUGAUGCCCGUCACAUGCAUUACUGGGUUGACUUCAAUCCUGUCUAAUUUUAUCAAAAGCAUUAUAGAAGCUCAUGUAUGUGUGAAUGCUUGAUAUGUGGCUGGGCACAACCAAGAAGGUAUUGUGCCUUAUCAAAGCUAAGUAGAAAGUAUAUUAAUCUGCUCAAAACAUGACAAGCGGGAAGGUUGAAAUUAUAUUGUAUUUUUAGUUGGUACAAUUAUGUUGUCGUAAUUUUGGUCUUUCCUUGUUGGGAAAAGGGGGUGCAAUAGGUGCUUGUAAUGUUGGUUUAAUAGUUUUUGUUAAUUGUCAAUUAUGAAUCACCAUUGGUCUCCUUAAUAUUAAGCUUCUGAUAAGAGCUUGAUCUGAAGCAUAGCUUGCUCGACAAUGAUUUGCUGGACUAUCAGAGAGCACCUUCUUUUUAGAGGCUUUCAACAAGUCACUCUGUAGUCUUAGGCUUAGCUUGGCCAAUAAAGUUUGAGGUCAUUUAUGUGCUUAUGCAUCAUAAGAAGAUAAGAACCGAUGAUCUUUUCUUCAGGAGCCCCCUAGUUGUUUUUCUUUUGUUCAUCUAUAAUGCUUCUGUACAAAGUAAGUAAAAUGAAAACUAAACUUUAUCAUCAACUUUCAGGUCUCCUAGGAUCACGCAUCUGACAUGUAUUGCGUCGCCAAUAUUCCAAGUAUACUUCUAUACAACUUAUUUCCAAUCCUCUUAUUCAUGAAUGUAAUACGUAUUGCCUUUGAUGUGAUGUUGCUGAAGCAGAUUUAUCCUGUUACGAAAUACACAAUGCCACCUGCUGUCUGAUUUUUUAGUUACUCUAAGUCAGCAAGUAUUGGAAACUUAAAGCAUGAAUUUAUGUAUCUAUAUCUGUAGAAACUUCAAAACAGGUGGGCUUUGAGAUUUAUUUGAAAUCUAGUUACAUUAGAUAUCAAUUAUCAAGCAUUGGCAAGGGACAUGCAGAUUUAAAAUUUAUAGAGCUUUUUUAGCCUUUUGAUAGGGCCCUUAUUGAGUUAUUCUUGUCUUCUGAUUUUGCCAGGUUCAGGAAUAGCUAUGAGGAAGUAGAGAGGAUGGGAUGAGCAAGUGCUGUUUUUGUAUAGUAGUAGAUGAACUCAGUACAUGUUGAAUUUUGAGGUGCAGCACUGGGAUCAGGAAAUAUUACUUUUUGCUGACUAUAGAUAAUUGUGUUAGAAACUGUUGCUGACGGUAUGCUUGAGUUGUACAAUCCGUUUAACGUAGGAAAGGAGUUCCAGGAUGCAGUUGUUGGGUUCUUCCUGGAUUUUGGAGCCUCGUUUUGACACAGGAAAGGGUUUACACGUUCUCAGACUUGUAGGUAGAAGCAGCCGGGAAGAGGAGCAUUCUGGCAAGAACUUCCUAAGAGUUUGCAUUUGUAGUCUUGACAAUCGCUGGAAUGAGAAAAGUGGCAACGAUAAAACCUACCAUUUGUCAACUCUGAUGAAAGUCCUAAUGUUACUCAUUUUCUUUAUCCGUAUCUGCAUCUCUACCCCCCUCUCUCUCUCUCUAAGUCGGUCUGUAUGCUUGUGUUUUUGGCAGCUCGAUUGAGUUGGAAUUAUAUCAUGACCAGAAAGAAAAGAAGGAUCGGACGCGCUGCAAAUAGAGAGAUUAAUCACAACCUAUGGUGAUGGAGGGAUAUGAAGCCCUGGAAAGUAGCAGUAGGUCCAUCAAUUUUCUAAGAGAAUAAAAAAAUGUGUGUGCCAAUUCAUUCUGCAUGGACAGCAGGCUUAGAAAACACUGGAGUAGCAGAUGUCAUCAAGAGCCCCUUUUAACAAAGCAAACAGAUAUGGGAACCAUGAAAACUGUGAAUCUUGCAACCCCUAAAAGCAACUCAAGGAACGCGUAGACACUUAUCUUCUUUUUUAAGCAGAAGGCUUCAGCUGCUAGCUGCUAAAUGUUUCCAUAAGGUCUGACCAUUCUAGUACUUCGUUACAUUUUAUAACCAAAAUGUCAAUGUGCCCUUGUGAACUUGAAUUGGGUAAAGAAACGCGAGAGUAGUAGCAACAAUAAAGGCAAUAAAAAGCCUAUUGGCAAGCCGAUUUUGUACAGUGAUGCUUUAGGUUUAUAAAUAAAGAACACAAGUUACUGCUUAGCAGCUAGCCAGCUAUUCAAUAGGGAAUGCAAUCAGAAAUCAAGCAUCACAAACGCCUAACUGCUGCCUAGAGACUUCGACAGGAUUCCAAAACACAAAAUACAGAUUUUUGUGUGUUCUACAAGAAAUUAAGCAAGUUGCAU
This 15389-nucleotide long non-coding RNA is filed under the name Coffea arabica (coffee). RNAcentral describes it as "long non-coding RNA (CARA_LNC001392)". The record is from RNAcentral. Lineage: Eukaryota; Viridiplantae; Streptophyta; Magnoliopsida; Gentianales; Rubiaceae.